Molecule: long non-coding RNA, 1452 nt
Filed under: Marmota monax (woodchuck)
Lineage: Eukaryota; Metazoa; Chordata; Mammalia; Rodentia; Sciuridae
Source: RNAcentral
UUUUCUCAAUGCCCUUUCUUUUUUCUCUGUUUCUAUCUCUCCGUGUCUCAUUUUAAUAUUCCAGUUGCUGUAGCCUGCAAAGAAAGUGUCAGAGAAAGGCAGCUUGUGAACUGAUUGAACCGCAGGCAGAAGAAUCUUCUUUGUGUUGCCUGAGGUCAAGAAUGUGUUUACACGUUGGCCUAAUGCUCUCGACUUUUGGGCUUUGGGACCUCCAAAGGCUACGGCGCCAUCAUACCAAGCAGUGAAAAGUCUGAAGCGCCCCAGCAGAGCACCUGAACCAGAUGUGCAACAAGACUUCAGUCAACACCAGCCCCCAAGUCACCCAACUCCAUGACAUCAUGCCAGGCUGGAAAAGUCAACAGGCCUCUGACUCCUGGCUCAGGCCCUCCUCUCUCCUCUCUCCCUCUGUUCUCCUUUCUCCUGCUUCUUUCUGUUCCUAACCCAGGGACAAUAUUUAGAAAGCAGAACUGGUUCAGGCAGCCCUCUCAAUUACUUUGGCUGGAACCUUCCUGAGUACAUUUUGCUAUCUCUUUGUGACGUAAACAGGGGCACUCACAGUUGGCCAGGGAUGCUCUUUCUGCUUUAAUUACACAGGCAUAAUUAUAGUCCCAGGGUCUGGAAAAAAGCACAGAGUUCUUUGGAGAACUUCACAGAGAUUUUUCUGUUAUGACAUAGUUUAUCUGGGGGGACAGAAACAAAACAACAACAACAAAAAAAAAUAGUAAGCUAAAAGGCAUUUCCAAAGAGGAAAUAAUAAAACAAUUCAUGCUAGCAUUCCAAUCUGUACUGAAUAGAUGACAAAAAUCAGAGGAGUCUUUUUUUGGAGGGGCAGAGAGUUGUCUCAAAUGUUGAACUCAUGGAUAGGGUGGGAAAAUCUAGAUAAAUCCUACUGAAUGGAUGUGGGUGGAGAAGGAUAUGAAAACAAAUAUUUUUACUUGGGAAAGCAGUAAUAAAGCAUCUGCUGCAUCCCACUGAAUUUGUGAGUGCCCUAGCUCCCUCACCCCCAUCCUGGGGAUUAUGCACAAUGAUCCCACCAUAGUAAUAGUAGUCUGGCUUCAACUUGAGUAAUAAAAAUUCCCCUUGCCCCCAGAUGUUUAGUAAGAGGGCACUUCGUUACUCCGCUGAUGUAUCGAGAAAUCACAGAACUGCCAGGGUAAUGGAGAGAGCAGUGACAGAGGUGGAGAGAGAGGGCUGUUUCUCUGUUAUGUACAGUGGAUAUUAAAUAGAGCAACUAAAAGAUGUUUUAUUUUAGAUUAGUGCUAGAGUGAUAUUUUCCCCAUGGCACUAAUAAUCCGGCAGCUUUCAAAAGCCUAUUUCCCUUCCCAGUAUCUCAGACUCUCAGCUCUGUCCUGGUGUAAGGAUAAGCCGUUGCAUUGACAAUUCUUUCUUAGAAAAGGAGAGAAUCACCUUUAUAGAUGGGUGCAUGUGAUAUUUAGAAAGGAGAGACAUCGU